AGAGUUUGAUCCUGGCUCAGAACGAACGCUGGCGGCAGGCUUAACACAUGCAAGUCGAACGCACCGCAAGGUGAGUGGCAGACGGGUGAGUAACGCGUGGGAACGUGCCCUUCAGUUCGGGAUAACCCAGGGAAACUUGGGCUAAUACCGGAUACGUGCGAGAGCAGAAAGAUUUAUCGCUGAAGGAUCGGCCCGCGUCUGAUUAGCUAGUUGGUGGGGUAAUGGCCCACCAAGGCGACGAUCAGUAGCUGGUCUGAGAGGAUGAUCAGCCACAUUGGGACUGAGACACGGCCCAAACUCCUACGGGAGGCAGCAGUGGGGAAUAUUGGACAAUGGGCGCAAGCCUGAUCCAGCCAUGCCGCGUGAGUGAUGAAGGCCUUAGGGUUGUAAAGCUCUUUCGUCCGGGACGAUAAUGACGGUACCGGAAGAAGAAGCCCCGGCUAACUUCGUGCCAGCAGCCGCGGUAAUACGAAGGGGGCUAGCGUUGUUCGGAAUCACUGGGCGUAAAGGGCGCGUAGGCGGCCUGAUAAGUCGGGGGUGAAAGCCUGUGGCUCAACCACAGAAUUGCCUUCGAUACUGUCGGGCUUGAGACCGGAAGAGGUAAGUGGAACUGCGAGUGUAGAGGUGAAAUUCGUAGAUAUUCGCAAGAACACCAGUGGCGAAGGCGGCUUACUGGUCCGGUUCUGACGCUGAGGCGCGAAAGCGUGGGGACAAACAGGAUUAGAUACCCUAGUAGUCC
Molecule: ribosomal RNA, 739 nt
Filed under: uncultured bacterium
Lineage: Bacteria
Description: bacterial SSU rRNA
Rfam family: Bacterial small subunit ribosomal RNA
Source: RNAcentral